GUGAGGUACACACUACCAACUACUCCAUUGGUAAUCGGAUCUAUAGGAGCAUUAGGAGACAGAAAGGUGCUAAAGCUGUGGGGCUGGAUGUUAGGUUUGUGUGAGUUUGCCAGCAUGGCUGAAUAUUGAACAGUGGAUGAAAGCAAGUGCUGAAGAAUUAGCAGCAUUAGAGUCUGAACAUUACCCUAAUGAGCUGGAAUUGCAUCUGUACUUUAGGGGAAAUGUGACUCAUAACUAGGACCGGGUAAUAAGCCGGAGCUCUUUUUAUAUGCUUGGGUAGAAUAUUGUAGUAACCAUUUUAGCUUUUAUAUAAACUGCAUCAAAAUGGCAUUGGUUCAGAGCAAUUUACUGGAUGAUGAUGAUGAUGCAGAGGCAGCCCACCAUCUCAGUCUAAUCAUGUACUCCUCACCUCAGUGAAGAAGAGAAAUCUUUGGUAUGGGAAUAAAACGCAUAUUCAACACAUAAUGGUACCUAAAUAAAUCAAUUAUCUGCAGAGUCAAGCAGGUUCUGUAGUCGUGAAACAUUUUAACAAGCGAAUGGGUGUGUAUUGUUAGCACAGUUAUUUGAUCUUACUGGUGAAACUCACAAACAGGACUUCAGUCUUCAUCCUUCAUCAUUUUCUAUCUAUAAUUUUUUAUUUUGUUUAUUCUCAUUUACAAUUCUUGGUUUCCAGGCUUUUCCUAAUGAAUCUUGGGGGGUUUCCUGAUAAAUGGCUGUACAUAUAGCUUCUCAUAGAAACAGUGAGGAUAAAUUCUGCACACUGCACCUCUAAGAAUGUAAAAAUGGGUGACAAAUUGAAGGAAAUUACUGAACAUUUGUCCACUAAUUGAGAGGAUCUGAUGGUUCUGUUUUGUUUUGGGCAUGAUUUAGCACACCUUUUUUCCUGAGAUCAGCAAUAGUCCAGAUCCAGACCCAGAUGCUGUUUUUUUUUUUUUUUUUUUUUUUUUAUGCGCCCAGACCUAUUACUAGACUUUGACUGACCUUUUUAACCUUCCUUGAAUUUACCAUGGGGCUUUAAUCUGUAUAGUGUUUUCUUUUGUCUGUGAUGGGAUGCUACUCAGCAAAUCAAAUCAUUUAUUCAGAGCGCGUAUGAAAACAAAAAACUCUGCCAGGAGAUGAGAUGCAGAACUCAUCUCUAGGGUUAGAUGUAAGGUCAUCUGUCCAGUCAUCCCUUUCCUCACUUUAUGAGGAAAAAGGGGGAGUUAAUGCCUAGAUGGUUAGAGAAAUACAAGAUAAAGGGAAACUUACACUACACCUUUUACCCCUCACACGUAAAAGCCUAAUGGGGUUUUGUCAAAAACCCGCCAGGUUGGCAGGCAACAUGAACACCCACGUUUGGGAAUGGGAUAAAUCGAGAACUAAGCGACCUCAAGGUCAUAGGUCAAGUUUUCAGAAAAUCUUGUGAAUUGAAUAACUUGAGAACGAAGUGACGUAGGAUUUUCAAAUUGAUACCAUAGGUGAAUCUACUGGGAGGCCAAGGGGUGCCACUGGCUACAGUCACCAUUUUUUUUCUAAAGUCAGCUUUUUCAAAAGCUUUUUUUUAAAGUUCAGAAUGCAAACUUAUUUUACUUGAAAUGAGAAAAGAACAUUUUACUUUUAGAGUACCCUCUAGGUCAUUGUGACAAUUUAUUUGUCUUACACACCCAACCAAACAGCAAAU
This is a long non-coding RNA of Astatotilapia calliptera (eastern happy), 1660 nucleotides long. The record is from Ensembl. Lineage: Eukaryota; Metazoa; Chordata; Actinopteri; Cichliformes; Cichlidae.